UGGGGAAUAUUGCACAAUGGGCGCAAGCCUGAUGCAGCCAUGCCGCGUGUGUGAAGAAGGCCUUCGGGUUGUAAAGCACUUUCAGCGGGGAGGAAGGCGAUAAGGUUAAUAACCUUGUCGAUUGACGUUACCCGCAGAAGAAGCACCGGCUAACUCCGUGCCAGCAGCCGCGGUAAUACGGAGGGUGCAAGCGUUAAUCGGAAUUACUGGGCGUAA
This 216-nucleotide ribosomal RNA is filed under the name Klebsiella pneumoniae. Its description in RNAcentral is "partial 16S ribosomal RNA". It matches the Rfam family "Bacterial small subunit ribosomal RNA", at positions 355 to 563 of the family's 1533-position model. Lineage: Bacteria; Pseudomonadati; Pseudomonadota; Gammaproteobacteria; Enterobacterales; Enterobacteriaceae. The record is from RNAcentral.